AUUGAACGCUGGCGGCAGGCCUAACACAUGCAAGUCGAGCGGUUGAAGGGAUCUUGCUCCUGUAUUCAUCGGCGGACGGGUGAGUAAUGCCUAGCAAUCUGCCUGCUAGUGGGGGAUAACUUCCGGACCCGGUCGCUAAUUCCCCAUACGUCCUGAGGCAGAAUGUGUGGGAUCUUCGGACCUCACGCUAUCAGAUUAGCCUAGGUCGGAUUAUCUGGUUGGUGGGGUAAAGGCCUACCAAGGCGACGUUCCGUAACUGGUCUGAGAGGAUGAUCAGUCACAAUGGAAGUGAGAAAAGGUGCAGAAGCCUACGAGAGGAAGCAGUGGGGAAGAAUAGAGAAUGGGCGAAAGACUGAUGAAGCCAUGACGCGUGUGUGAAGAAGGUGUUCGGAUUGUAAAGAACUUUAAGUUGGGAGGAAGGGCAGUAAGUUAAUACCUGGCUGUGUUGACGUUACCAACAGAAUAAGCACCGGCUAACUUCGUG
RNAcentral lists this ribosomal RNA (484 nucleotides) under uncultured bacterium. RNAcentral describes it as "partial 16S ribosomal RNA". It matches the Rfam family "Bacterial small subunit ribosomal RNA", at positions 30 to 507 of the family's 1533-position model. The record is from RNAcentral.